UUUCCUCACCACUGCUUUCAACCGAGACCUUAGUAGGCAGUAUAAUACUUCGUCUCUUUAUCCUGUAGCGAGGGGUUGCAGGAAAUAAAUAUCGCU
Non-coding RNA from Euryarchaeota archaeon TMED248, 96 nucleotides. Lineage: Archaea; Methanobacteriati; Methanobacteriota. The record is from Rfam.